RNAcentral lists this ribosomal RNA (852 nucleotides) under uncultured bacterium. Its description in RNAcentral is "bacterial SSU rRNA". It matches the Rfam family "Bacterial small subunit ribosomal RNA", at positions 100 to 928 of the family's 1533-position model. The record is from RNAcentral.
GACGGGUGAGUAACGCGUGGGCAACCUACCCAUAAGAGGGGGAUAACAGUUGGAAACGACUGCUAAUACCGCAUAAGCUAUUGAGGUCGCAUGACCUUAAUAGUAAAGGUGGCGCUUGUUUACAAGCUAUCACUUAUGGAUGGGCCCGCGUCUGAUUAGCUAGUUGGUGGGGUAGAAGCCUACCAAGGCAACGAUCAGUAGCCGGCCUGAGAGGGUGGACGGCCACACUGGGACUGAGACACGGCCCAGACUCCUACGGGAGGCAGCAGUGGGGAAUAUUGCGCAAUGGGGGAAACCCUGACGCAGCGACGCCGCGUGAGCGAUGAAGGCCUUAGGGUCGUAAAGCUCUGUUGUAAGGGACGAAUGUUUAUCUGGCCAAUAGUCAGAUAAAGUGACGGUACCUUACCAGCAAGCCCCGGCUAACUACGUGCCAGCAGCCGCGGUAAGACGUAGGGGGCGAGCGUUGUCCGGAAUUACUGGGCGUAAAGAGCACGUAGGCGGGUAAUUAAGUCAGAUGUGAAAGACCGGGGCCCAACCUCGGGGUUGCAUCUGAAACUGGAUAUCUUGAGGGCAGGAGAGGAAAGUGGAAUUCCUGGUGUAGCGGUGAAAUGCGUAGAAAUCAGGAGGAAUACCAGUGGCGAAGGCGGCCUUCUGGACUGACCCUGACGCUGAGGUGCGAAAGCGUGGGUAGCAAACAGGAUUAGAUACCCUGGUAGUCCACGCUGUAAACGAUGGAUACUAGGUGUGGGAGGUAUCGACCCCUUCCGUGCCGGAGCUAACGCAAUAAGUAUCCCGCCUGGGGAGUACGGUCGCCAAGGCUGAAACUCAAGGAAUUGACGGGGGCCCGCACAA